CUUUAUCUACAGAUUUGUGAUGAGUUGGAAAUCAAGAAUCCAGUCAGCGUCAAACUGUUCACUGGGAAGAGUGAGAGAAGUUCAUCUGGUCUGUUGGAGUGGGAGUCGGUAAAUGAUGCUAUGGAGGCUCUUGCUUUGAUCAACCACUACCAGAUGAAGAACCCUAGCGGGCCUUACCCAUACACUCUUAAACUGUGUUUUUCAUCUGCACAGCACGCCAACUGAACCCACAAUAACAACUAUAACCUUUGACUCCCAGUGACCUUUUGAGCUCAGCUCCAUAGUAUGUCUUAUCUCAUGACCUGGAGGGAAAGAAUGGGACUGUUAAGAUUACCUUUAUUUCCAGAAUAUGAUUGGACUCAAUGUUUUGUAUUAUGGUUUCAUUUUUAAUUAAUUUUUUUUUUUUAAAUAUAGCUAUUUUUUU
Molecule: long non-coding RNA, 424 nt
Organism: Sinocyclocheilus anshuiensis
Lineage: Eukaryota; Metazoa; Chordata; Actinopteri; Cypriniformes; Cyprinidae
Exons: 3
Source: RefSeq, a predicted model, not a curated record